AACGAACGCUGGCGGCAGGCCUAACACAUGCAAGUCGAGCGCCCCGCAAGGGGAGCGGCGGACGGGUGAGUAACGCGUGGGAACGUGCCUCUUGCUACGGAAUAGCCUCGGGAAACUGGGAGUAAUACCGUAUGUGCCCUACGGGGGAAAGAUUUAUCGGCAAGAGAUCGGCCCGCGUUGGAUUAGGUAGUUGGUGGGGUAAUGGCCUACCAAGCCGACGAUCCAUAGCUGGUUUGAGAGGAUGAUCAGCCACACUGGGACUGAGACACGGCCCAGACUCCUACGGGAGGCAGCAGUGGGGAAUCUUAGACAAUGGGCGCAAGCCUGAUCUAGCCAUGCCGCGUGAGCGAUGAAGGCCUUAGGGUUGUAAAGCUCUUUUACCCGGGAUGAUAAUGACAGUACCGGGAGAAUAAGCUCCGGCUAACUCCGUGCCAGCCGCCGCGGUAA
RNAcentral lists this ribosomal RNA (447 nucleotides) under uncultured bacterium. RNAcentral's name for it is "partial 16S ribosomal RNA". It matches the Rfam family "Bacterial small subunit ribosomal RNA", at positions 29 to 523 of the family's 1533-position model. The record is from RNAcentral.